GCAAGAGCACUUCACGAGCUAUCCUAAGAGCCAUUGGCUUCCCUGAAAAGCUUAUUGAAGAUCAUAUGCCAGCAUCUAUCGUGACGCCCAGCUCUUCAUGUAACCUAUCAGAUCUCUCAGUUUGGCCACUCAGUGAAGUUGUUCACAAGACAUUCCUAGUGAAGUUGUUCACAUGACAUUGGUACCUCGGAGCAGCAAUAUUUAAGCCUCAACCUAUUUGUUGAUCAAUCGAACAAAAAUGACAACGAAGAGAAUCAUCCAGGAGCUUGAGGAUUUGCAGAGAGACCCAGGAGCUAUUCUGUUCUCACAAAAUACUCUAUUCAUGGGUGAGUUCAGUCCACGAGAACACUGGCGUUCACAGCACAGCGCCGACCAUGGUAAAGCAGAAGAAGAGUAAGGAUCAGGCAAUACAAAUUGGACCAGUGGUGCUCAUAAAAGAAAUUACAGUUGUGCAGCUACAGCUCAAGCAUAGAUCGUAUUAUGUUGAAGUGUAUGUGAACACUACUACGAUUGUGUGAAACAAAAUAUAGACUAGAAGAAAUAGAUAAGCUUUCAGAAAAGAAACAACUUCCUCCAGUGAUUCAUAUGUACUCUGAAAUAGAACUGUAUUGACUGUGUCCUUCUUUUCCAAGUUUGAACAGCCUUCUAGUGGCAUUUUAGGCCUGUGAGCAUAUUGUCUGACAUGAAAGCAGCUAACAAGGAGGUUUCAAGUUAACAACAGCUGUGGUAUGUACUUAUAUAUGUAACAAUUCUAUCAAAUAGGUGCCCAUAAUAUCACUGACCAAACUCCAUGGAAAAAAAUAAACUCCAGGUUCAGAGAUAUGGCACAUAUAGAUACUUGGAGCCAGUUACAAUCGAUCCCCUGAUUUUAAUUUAAGAACAAUCAAUACAUUACCCUAACAAGCUCUCACAAAAUUGGGAGAGUAUCUUCAGAUGGAACUUGGUCAACC
Non-coding RNA from Elaeis guineensis (African oil palm), 950 nucleotides. Lineage: Eukaryota; Viridiplantae; Streptophyta; Magnoliopsida; Arecales; Arecaceae. The record is from RefSeq and is a predicted model, not a curated record.